CCUACGGGGCGCAGCAGGCGCGAAAACUUUACAAUGUGCGAAAGCACGAUAAGGGAACUCUGAGUGCCUCCUAAGGAGGCUGUUCAGAUGUUUAAAAAGCAUCUGGAGGAAGGGCUGGGCAAGACCGGUGCCAGCCGCCGCGGUAACACCGGCAGCCCAAGUGGUGGUCAUGCUUACUGGGUCUAAAGCGUCCGUAGCCGGCCAGGUAGGUUCCUUGGGAAAUUUGAUCGCUUAACGAUCAAGCUACCUGGGAAUACUACCUGGCUUGGGACCGGGAGAGGUCAGAGGUACCUCAAGGGUAGGGGUGAAAUCCGUUAAUCCUUGGGGGACCACCGGUAGCGAAGGCGCCUGACCAGACCGGAUCCGACGGUGAGGGACGAAGGCUAGGGGAGCGAAGCGGAUUAGAUACCCGCGUAGUCCUAGCUGUAAACGAUGCGGGCUAGGUGUUGGCAUUACUGCGAGUGAUGCCAGUGCCGAAGGGAAGCCGUUAAGCCCGCCAUCUGGGGAGUACGGUCGCAAGGCUGAAACAUAAAGGAAUUGGCGGGGGAGCACCACAACGGGUGGAGCUUGCGGUUCAAUUGGAUUCAACGCCGGAAAUCUCACCGGAGGGGACAGCGAGAUGAAGGUCAGGCUAAAGACCUUACCAGAUUAGCUGAGAGGAGGUGCAUGGCC
RNAcentral lists this ribosomal RNA (672 nucleotides) under uncultured bacterium. Its description in RNAcentral is "bacterial SSU rRNA". It matches the Rfam family "Archaeal small subunit ribosomal RNA", at positions 322 to 999 of the family's 1478-position model. The record is from RNAcentral.